Molecule: ribosomal RNA, 116 nt
Filed under: Sycophila sp. 4 CH-2014
Lineage: Eukaryota; Metazoa; Arthropoda; Insecta; Hymenoptera; Eurytomidae
Also listed under: 1 other name
Description: partial 16S ribosomal RNA
Source: RNAcentral
AAGAUUUUAAAAGUCGAACAGACUUAAAAUAAUUAAUAUCUUCAUUAACUUUAAUCUUAAUUCAACAUCGAGGUCGCAAUCAAUUUUAUCAAUAUGAACUCUUCAAAAUUAUUACG